CCUACGGGAGGCAGCAGUGAGGAAUAUUGGUCAAUGGGCGCAAGCCUGAACCAGCCAUGCCGCGUGCAGGAAGACGGCCUUAUGGGUUGUAAACUGCUUUUACAUAAGACUAACCGUAUAUUUGCGAAUAUACCUGAAUGUAUUAUGAGAAUAAGGAUCGGCUAACUCCGUGCCAGCAGCCGCGGUAAU
This 189-nucleotide ribosomal RNA is filed under the name uncultured bacterium. RNAcentral describes it as "partial 16S rRNA". It matches the Rfam family "Bacterial small subunit ribosomal RNA", at positions 338 to 524 of the family's 1533-position model. The record is from RNAcentral.